RNAcentral lists this ribosomal RNA (468 nucleotides) under uncultured bacterium. RNAcentral describes it as "partial 16S ribosomal RNA". It matches the Rfam family "Bacterial small subunit ribosomal RNA", at positions 28 to 507 of the family's 1533-position model. The record is from RNAcentral.
GACGAACGCUGGCGGCGUGCUUAACACAUGCAAGUCGAACGGCAAGGCCCUGCUUUUGUGGUGUGCUCGAGUGGCGAACGGGUGAGUAACACGUGAGUAACCUGCCCUUGACUUUGGGAUAACUUCAGGAAACUGGGGCUAAUACCGGAUAGGAGCUCCUGCUGCAUGGUGGGGGUUGGAAAGUUUCGGCGGUUGGGGAUGGACUCGCGGCUUAUCAGCUUGUUGGUGGGGUAGUGGCUUACCAAGGCUUUGACGGGUAGCCGGCCUGAGAGGGUGACCGGCCACAAUGGGACUGAGAUACGGCCCAGACUCCUACGGGAGGCAGCAGUGGGGAAUAUUGCACAAUGGGCGGAAGCCUGAUGCAGCGACGCCGCGUGCGGGAUGACGGCCUUCGGGUUGUAAACCGCUUUCGCCUGUGACGAAGCGUGAGUGACGGUAAUGGGUAAAGAAGCACCGGCUAACUACGUG